Non-coding RNA from Cydia pomonella (codling moth), 72 nucleotides. The record is from the annotation of a RefSeq genome assembly. NCBI's taxonomy places the organism in Eukaryota, Metazoa, Arthropoda, Insecta, Lepidoptera, Tortricidae.
GGUUAGCUGGUAAAAUUGGUAAUGCGUUGGACUAGCAAUCCAAAGAUGUGGGUUCGAGUCCCACUUUAGCCA